Molecule: ribosomal RNA, 497 nt
Filed under: uncultured bacterium
Lineage: Bacteria
Description: partial 16S ribosomal RNA
Rfam family: Bacterial small subunit ribosomal RNA
Source: RNAcentral
GAUGAACGCUGGCGGCGUGCCUAAUACAUGCAAGUCGAGCGAACAGACGAGGAGCUUACUCCUCUGACGUUAGCGGCGGACGGGUGAGUAACACGUGGAUAACCUUCCUAUAAGACUGGGAUAACUUCGGGAAACCGGAGCUAAUACCGGAUAACAUGUUGAACCGCAUGGUUCAACAGUGAAAGACGGUCUUGCUGUCACUUAUAGAUGGAUCCGCGUCGCAUUAGCUAGUUGGUAAGGUAACGGCUUACCAAGGCAACGAUGCGUAGCCGACCUGAGAGGGUGAUCGGCCACACUGGAACUGAGACACGGUCCAGACUCCUACGGGAGGCAGCAGUAGGGAAUCUUCCGCAAUGGGCGAAAGCCUGACGGAGCAACGCCGCGUGAGUGAAGAAGGUCUUCGGAUCGUAAAACUCUGUUAUUAGGGAAGAACAAAUGUGUAAGUAACUAUGCACGUCUUGACGGUACCUAAUCAGAAAGCCACGGCUAACUACGUG